AACGCGAAGAACCUUACCAAGGUUUGACAUGCAGGGAAAAGCCGUAGAGAUAUGGUGUCCGUAAGGGUCCUGCACAGGUGGUGCAUGGCUGUCGUCAGCUCGUGUCGUGAGAUGUUGGGUUAAGUCCCGCAACGAGCGCAACCCUCGCCCUAUGUUGCCAGCGGGUCAUGCCGGGGACUCAUAGGAGACUGCCGGGGUCAACUCGGAGGAAGGUGGGGAUGACGUCAAGUCCUCAUGCCCCUUAUGUCUUGGGCUGCAAACAUGCUACAAUGGCCAGUACAAAGGGUUGCGAGACCGCAAGGUGGAGCGAAUCCCAAAAAGCUGGUCUCAGUUCGGAUUGGGGUCUGCAACUCGACCCCAUGAAGUCGGAGUCGCUAGUAAUCGCGAAUCAGCAACGUCGCGGUGAAUACGUUCCCGGGUCUUGUACACACCG
This 433-nucleotide ribosomal RNA is filed under the name uncultured bacterium. Its description in RNAcentral is "bacterial SSU rRNA". It matches the Rfam family "Bacterial small subunit ribosomal RNA", at positions 958 to 1392 of the family's 1533-position model. The record is from RNAcentral.